AAUCAACGCUGGCGGCGUGCCUCAGACAUGCAAGUCGAACGAUUAAAGCUCUCUUCGGAGAGUGCAUAGAGUGGCGCACGGGUGAGUAACACGUAAGUAAUCUACCCUCGAGUGGGGAAUAACGUCCGGAAACGGGCGCUAAUACCGCAUAAUGCAGCGGCAUCACAAGAUGACAGUUGUUAAAGAGUUAUCGCUUGAGGAGGAGCUUGCGGCAGAUUAGCUAGUUGGUAAGGUAACGGCUUACCAAGGCUACGAUCUGUAACCGGUCUUAGAGGACGGUCGGUCACACUGACACUGAAUAACGGGUCAGACUCCUACGGGAGGCAGCAGUCGGGAAUUUUGGGCAAUGGGCGAAAGCCUGACCCAGUAACGCCGCGUGAAGGAUGAAGUAUUUCGGUAUGUAAACUUCGAAAGAAUAGGAAGAAUUAAUGACGGUACUAUUUAUAAGGUCCGGCUAACUACGUGCCAGCAGCCGCCGUAA
Molecule: ribosomal RNA, 481 nt
Filed under: uncultured bacterium
Lineage: Bacteria
Description: partial 16S ribosomal RNA
Rfam family: Bacterial small subunit ribosomal RNA
Source: RNAcentral